ACGCUAGCUACAGGCUUAACACAUGCAAGUCGAGGGGAAACGACAUUGAAGCUUGCUUCGAUGGGCGUCGACCGGCGCACGGGUGAGUAACGCGUAUCCAACCUGCCUCUGACUAAGGGAUACCCCGGCGAAAGUCGGACUAAUACCUUAUGAGGUUUUCUGCAGACAUCUAACGAAAACGAAAGAUUUAUCGGUCAGUGAUGGGGAUGCGUCUGAUUAGCUUGUUGGCGGGGUAACGGCCCACCAAGGCAACGAUCAGUAGGGGUUCUGAGAGGAAGGUCCCCCACAUUGGAACUGAGACACGGUCCAAACUCCUACGGGAGGCAGCAGUGAGGAAUAUUGGUCAAUGGGCGAGAGCCUGAACCAGCCAAGUAGCGUGCAGGAUGACGGCCCUAUGGGUUGUAAACUGCUUUUAUGUGGGGAUAAAGUGAGCUACGUGUAGUUUAUUGCAGGUACCACAUGAAUAAGGACCGGCUAAUUCCGUGCCAGCAGCCGCGGUAAUACGGAAGGUCCAGGCGUUAUCCGGAUUUAUUGGGUUUAAAGGGAGCGUAGGCCGUGGAUUAAGCGUGUUGUGAAAUGUAGACGCUCAACGUCUGAAUUGCAGCGCGAACUGGUUCACUUGAGUAUGCACAACGUAGGCGGAAUUCGUCGUGUAGCGGUGAAAUGCUUAGAUAUGACGAAGAACUCCGAUUGCGAAGGCAGCUUACGGGAGCACAACUGACGCUGAAGCUCGAAGGUGCGGGUAUCAAACAGGAUUAGAUACCCUGGUAGUCCGCACAGUAAACGAUGGAUGCCCGUUGUUAGUUCACUUUAGAAUUAGCGACCAAGCGAAAGCAUUAAGCAUCCCACCUGGGGAGUACGCCGGCAACGGUGAAACUCAAAGGAAUUGACGGGGGCCCGCACAAGCGGAGGAACAUGUG
RNAcentral lists this ribosomal RNA (920 nucleotides) under uncultured bacterium. Its description in RNAcentral is "bacterial SSU rRNA". It matches the Rfam family "Bacterial small subunit ribosomal RNA", at positions 33 to 943 of the family's 1533-position model. The record is from RNAcentral.